Long non-coding RNA from Dreissena polymorpha, 1240 nucleotides. RefSeq lists it as uncharacterized. The transcript is spliced from 5 exons. Lineage: Eukaryota; Metazoa; Mollusca; Bivalvia; Myida; Dreissenidae. The record is from RefSeq and is a predicted model, not a curated record.
UUAUGAAGUUGUCUCCACAAGUUUCUAAGUUGAGGCCUCAACUUGCAAAGUUGUUCCCGCAAGUUAUUAAGUUGAAGGAAUAACUUAGUAAGUUAAAUGAACAAAUUACAAAGUUGAGGCUUCAACUUAAUAAGUUUUGGGAACAAGUAAGGAAGUUGUGGCCACAAGUUACUAAGCUGAGGUCUCAACUUAAUAAGUUGUGGGGACAACGUACUUAGUUGUUUCCACAAGUUAUUUUAAAAGUUGUUUCCACAAGUUAUUAAGUUGAAGCCACAACUUAUGAAGUUGUUCCCUCAACUUUAUAAGUUGUUCCCACAAGUUACUAAGCUGAGGCCACAAUAUAAAUAAAGAAUUGCGGUUGUCACCUCUGUGCCACCGUGUAAAACAGAAAAACACGCAUUGCUUUGCUAUAUCUAAUGGAAAACAGUGGAAUAAUUUAUUCUAUUGAAACGAUAUCUAUUACAAUUAGCUGUCCAAUUUGCCGAAACAUCACAUAAAUGCAAGUCUAAAUGACGAAGAUACAUUUAACAGCAGAUUUAUUAACUUAACGUCAAAUUAAUUCCAUACGAACAUGCUCUAUCACGAGACACUUUUAAAAAUGUUAAAAAUAAUAUUUAUUUGAUUUUGUGCAAGAAAUGUUUAACAAAAAUACGUCUCUUGAAAACUUGUGUUUUUGUAAGUUCGGCAUUUUGAAUUGGGACCAUCGAUAUGCUAAAAAAGCCGAAAGAAAAUUCAAUUUUAAUUCUAUUUUAACAACUUUUUACCAACAGAAAGUUACUUAUUAGAUCACUACAAACGUUUUAACCAUUUAGAAGAGACCUACUUUAUAACCUCCAAAAAGAGAACUCAGAUCAACAUGCACAAAUUCGCCAUCUGUCUCUGCCUCUUUUUUGGCUGCUUAGCAUUUACCCAAGCGCAAAUAUUAGGAAAUACCGGAUAUUAUGGCCGCCAGAGACAGGUCUUUCCCCAAGUCCGUUAUUGUUACGACUUCGUAGGUCGUCCUGUGACCCCAGGACAGCAAUACAGUAACGAUGGAUGUAACACUUGUAGGUGUGGUUACAACGGACAGGGCGCCUGUACACUGAUGGCAUGCAACCCCAGUAUUCGUGGUCACAGGGAAGGAUAUGUCAGGAAUUGGUAGACACUCCUCGACUUCAAUGAUUUGUCUAGUUUUAUUUCAUCCACGACGAUGCAUUUUGAAUCACCUCAUUGUUUUCUAUUAUUAAACGUGCAAUAUGUA